This 253-nucleotide ribosomal RNA is filed under the name uncultured bacterium. RNAcentral describes it as "partial 16S ribosomal RNA". It matches the Rfam family "Bacterial small subunit ribosomal RNA", at positions 524 to 776 of the family's 1533-position model. The record is from RNAcentral.
UACGAGGGGGGCAAGCGUUGUUCGGAAUUAUUGGGCGUAAAGGGUGCGUAGGCGGUCUGACAAGUCUGAUGUGAAAUCUAUGGGCUCAACCCAUAGUCUGCACCGGAAACUGUCGGGCUUGAGUAUGGGAGAGGUGAGUGGAACUGCGAGUGUAGAGGUGAAAUUCGUAGAUAUUCGCAAGAACACCAGUGGCGAAGGCGGCUCACUGGCCCGGUACUGACGCUGAGGUGCGAAAGCGUGGGGAGCAAACAGG